GUUUCCUAUCAAACAUUGUUGAUCAACCAUGUUCAUUUUGAUAUGUUGGAGAUAAUCUAGACUGUCCAUCUGAUUGGUUAUCAUAGAUGGCUAAUGGUGCAAAAUAAACCAUAUGAGCAAUCAAACAAAUGGAAUUGCCCACAAAUAAAGGACGUAACCUUCGAAAGGUCAACCAAUUCAACAUUUAGGGCCUGUUUGGAUACCACCAAAUAAGUUACUUUUUCUACUUGCAGCAAUAGAUAAUAACUUAUUUCAGAUAAGUUUGGUUUAUGAUUAGUUAUAAGUAACUUUUUUACUU
Molecule: long non-coding RNA, 298 nt
Organism: Magnolia sinica
Lineage: Eukaryota; Viridiplantae; Streptophyta; Magnoliopsida; Magnoliales; Magnoliaceae
Exons: 2
Source: RefSeq, a predicted model, not a curated record